RNAcentral lists this ribosomal RNA (154 nucleotides) under uncultured Clostridium sp. RNAcentral's name for it is "partial 16S ribosomal RNA". It matches the Rfam family "Bacterial small subunit ribosomal RNA", at positions 355 to 501 of the family's 1533-position model. The record is from RNAcentral. Lineage: Bacteria; Bacillati; Bacillota; Clostridia; Eubacteriales; Clostridiaceae.
UGGGGAAUAUUGCACAAUGGGCGCAAGCCUGAUGCAGCCAUGCCGCGUGUAUGAAGAAGGCCUUCGGGUUGUAAAGUACUUUCAGCGGGGAGGAAGGGAGUAAAGUUAAUACCUUUACUCAUUGACGUUACCCGCAGAAGAAGCACCGGCUAAC